This 253-nucleotide ribosomal RNA is filed under the name uncultured bacterium. RNAcentral describes it as "partial 16S ribosomal RNA". It matches the Rfam family "Bacterial small subunit ribosomal RNA", at positions 524 to 776 of the family's 1533-position model. The record is from RNAcentral.
UACGUAGGGCGCAAGCGUUGUCCGGAAUUAUUGGGCGUAAAGAGCUCGUAGGCGGUUUGUCGCGUCUGCUGUGAAAACUCGAGGCUCAACCUCGGGCUUGCAGUGGGUACGGGCAGACUAGAGUGCGGUAGGGGAGACUGGAAUUCCUGGUGUAGCGGUGGAAUGCGCAGAUAUCAGGAGGAACACCGAUGGCGAAGGCAGGUCUCUGGGCAUGUCCUGACGCUGAGGAGCGAAAGUGUGGGGAGCGAACAGG